CUUAAGUACUGUAUGAAAUUAUAAAGUCUGUAUGCGUUACAUUUGUGCUUGCCUUUAUGUUCCAAAUUUAUAAUUCUGUAAUUUUGCUGUGGGAAAGUAUACAUUAGACUGAAAUGGUUAAUUUGGGUUUAAGCCAAUCUGACUUGGCAUAUUGUGAAUCAUUAGACAUUAUACCAUCUCUUAAUAUAUCCCCAGUCCUUGUCAUCAUCUCCCCUACACGCUAACCCUGUUCCAGCUCUUCUAGCUUAUGUUUUCUUUUUGAAAAAUAAGUAUAUUCCCAAGUUCUACUACUUAUUUUUACAUCACUGGGGAAAGUAAACAAUGUUCUUUGAUGGUCUCUUAGUUUCUUUGGGCGGCCAUAACAAAAUACCUGAGAUUGGAUGAUUUAUAAGCAACUAAAAUGGGUUACUCACAGUCUAGAGCUGGGGAAGUCCAAGAGCAAGAGGCUAGCAAUCUGGUGAUGGCUUUCUUCCUUGUAGCUGGGGCCUUUUCACUGUAACGUCAUAUGACAGACAAAGUUUGCUAGUCUCUGCCCUCCUUUAUAAAGGCACUAAUGCCAUUGCAUGAAGGUAUAGUCCUAAUUAGUUCCAGUAGUCCCCAUUUUCUGAUACUGUCCUAUUAGGGAUUAGAUUCCAAUGUAUAAAUGUAGGAGGGAUACAAGUAUUAAAAACAGCAAGCAGUUGCCUUUCCUUUUGGUGACACAUAUUGGCAAGGCGGCCUUGCAGAUUUCCACGAACAGGAAGUCUGUUGCUGAUGGCAUCUUCAAAGCUGAACUGAAUGAGUUUUUCACUCAGGAGCUGGCUGAAGCUGGCUACUUUGUAGUUGAAGUCUGAGUUACACCAACCAGGACAGAAAUCAUUAUCUCAGCCCCCAGAACACAGGAUAUUCUUAGUGUGAAGGGUCUUGGGAUCAGAGUUGACUGCAGUAGUGAACCAGAAGAGGUUCUGCUUCCCUGAGAGCAACGUAGAGCUUUGUGCAGAAAAAGUGGCCCCAAAGGGUCUGAGUGCCUAUGUCCAAUCAGAGUCUCCAUCUUACAAACUCCUCGGAGGGCUUGCUCUAUGAGGACCUGCUGCAAUGUGCUAUGGUUCAUUAUGGAGAAAGGGAUCAAGGGCUGCGAGGUUGUGGUGACUGGCAAGCUCCAAGGAUAGAGAGCCAAGUCCAUGAAGAUUGUGGAUGAGCUGAUGCUCCACAGUAGAGACCCUGUUAACUACUGUGUUGACACUUCUGUGUGCUGUGUGCUCCUCAGACAGGGUGUCAGGGCAUCAAAGUGAAGCUCAUGUUGCCCUGGGACCCAAGAGGUGAGAUUGGCCCAAAGGAGCUGCUGCUUGAGAGCGUUGUGAAGCUGAAUGAUGAAAUUCUGCCCACCCCACCACCCAUCCCCCCACCCCCAUCUCGGAACAGAAGGGCGGGAAACCAGAGCCACUGUCAUGUCCCAGCCAUUGCCUACAGCAUAACAGGGGCUUGGCAGCUGCUUCUGGAUGUUAUCCUUGUCCUGUAAAGACAUUUAAUAAAAUCUUGCAGAAAGAAAUACAAAACCAAAAGCAGCAAAUGGCCAAGACAGUUUCCUUUUCAGGUAAAUCUGCCUUCUAACUUGCAAUUGAACCUUCUCUGGAGUGUUUAGGGGUCGUCGUUGUUGGUUGGUGGUGGUGGUGAUGUUCUCCAAUUUAGUCCUCUGGUCUAAGUAGAAUACGAAGCUGCUUCUGCUCCUUAAUGCCUGGCUUGUGCUGGGAUCUGUGACUUUCUUGUGUGGUCUCUGUUGAAAAAUCUUGUAAUGUGAUAAAGGCUUAGUUGACAACCUUACAGAACAAAAGAUCCAUGAAAACUAUGCUCUGUUUAGGCAUCUGGAGAACAACUGUUGCAGACAGGUAAACGAUAAGAGAAAAAAAUCUUGAAACAGGUAGAGCAAGGCAAAUAGAGAACACUUGGUAUUGGCUACCCGUGUGUUUGCCUGUAGGACUGUCCCAGCGACACAGAGGUAAAUGCUGUACUAUCCUAUAUUCCAAAAUUCUUAAACUUCACUGAACUAGAGAAAGACUCCUGCUUCUAGCCUGGGACCUACUCAGAGAAGAAGAAAUGUAUAGGCUCUUUUUCCUUGGGAGGUGUUUUGCAUCCAGUUCACAUGUGUGGUAAAGACAUGUAAGUCUGAAGUAAAAUACAGGGCACAGAAAAAGAAUGACUGAUUACAUGCCUUUGUUGUCACAGACCACUCUUCUCUUUUUGUAUUUGUGACUUGGUUGUAGCAGUUUAGAUGUUACUUACAAACAGGACAAUGUCGAGAGCACAGAAAACUGGAACCACCCCCACCAUUUCAAAGUAUCCUUCUGAGACUUAAAAGACUUCCUUAAAAGACUUCCACUUGGGUCCUCACACACCCAUCAGAAGUGGCUCACAUGGCCACAUCUCAAUCAGUCACUAGCCAUGGAUCAGUGCCCAAGAAGGGGAGGAAUGAGCAAAAUUAACAUUCUGUUAACAAGAAAGAUGUAGGUAUUGGGAGAAUCGGGGUACAGAAUAGACACUGAGAGAGAGGCAUGUAUAACUGUCUGCAGCAUGCUACCACUUCAAAAAUAACUGUGAAAUCCCUUGGGAUGGUGGCUAUGUAGUUGGUGGGCACCGCCAAUGGGUAGAAACAAAAAGGGGACAAUGCAGACUAAUUAAGGACAGAGAAGUGAGCCAAGAUCAAUGAUUAUUCUGAUUACCGCCACAAUAAACCCUAAUGAGUUUGAAUGUACUAAUUUAUGUCUUCUUGUACUCAAGAAGUAUAUGCUCUUUGCUUAGUGAAAAAAAAUGAUUAAAAUAAUUUAUUUCUCAAUAAAUCUAUCUAGUAUAUUUUACAGUAUAAGUUUAUAGGAAUGUAAACAAUUUUAUUAACUUUAUAUAUCAUUCUGUUAACAAGACUGAUAAUUAUGGGUGAUUAUAACUGGUCAUGAUUUCUUAUGUAUGCUUUUAUACUGUAAGAAUUUAGCAUCCAAGAGAAGUUAGCAACUUACCGAAAUCCCACAACUAACAAGUGGCUAAGCUAGGAUUCAGACAUGAGCUCCCUCAUGACCCUUCCCACUCAACAUGACUGCCCAUUUUCUUGGAAGACAGUCCUGGGAUUAUCAAGACCAGUAGAGUGUUAAGUGAUUGGACCCUGCCCAUCUCUGUGACCUCAUUAUUCAUCCUGUGGCCCCUGCUCAAUUUUCUAACCACAUGCCUUUCUUAUUGUUGGUGUAAUAAGCCAGUCUCUUCCCCACCUGUGACCCUUUGCAUUUGUGGUACCUUCUGCUUGGAUACACAGCCUCUGUUCCUAUGGCUACAUCCACUCUACCCAGGCUAUUAAAUAUCUCCUCUUUAUAACACUAUCCAAGGACCAUGCUAUCUAUCUGUUCAGGAGUACUCCUGGGUCCUGAUCCCUCCCCACUUCUGUUUUCUUUAUGCUACUUGCCACAGUCUCAUAUAGUUUACUUAGUUAUCUAGUUUUUGAUCUGUUGUCUUCUAUCUGUAUUUUAAAAUGAAUUAUCAAACAUAUAAAUAAGUGAAUGAAUGAAUACUUACAAAUAUAGAUUUCUAGUAAUCCAGAGUUGGCCUUUAUCUCCCACCUAAGGUAAGAUGCCAGUUGUCAUUUGAGCCUGAAUCUAUCAAGCUCAGAAUUUUUUCUUGGAGAAUUUGAAAACUAAUUAAAUCUACUUUUUAUUCUGUUCAAGGGCAAAAGAAAUGAAUAUUAAAGUUCUUUGGGAAAAAAAGAUAUACUUACUAUAGCUAUAUACAUGUGGGUUUUAGUAGAGUCUUAUACUAGGGGCAUUUGCGUAAUAAAUUCUGAAUUUCUUAUUUAGAAAGCCUAUUGACACCAACACUUUUAAUUUGAUAUAAACUGUUAAAAAAUGAAAUUACGUAUAAGACUGAAUUUUAAAGUGGGAGUGAGAAUUACAAUUGCAUUUAGAAUGAUAAAUUCAGUUAAAAUUGAUUUCUCUGCAUACACAUAAUUUUCAACUCAUAUAUGUACUUAAAUGACUCUUUUCUCAGAACUGUUCUUAAUUGUUCCAAAGUAAUUAUGGAGGUGCAAAUUGAAAAAUAGCUUUACCGCACAUGUUGAUUCCUAAGCAACUGGAAUGCAUGAGGCAGUAUUUUCUUCCAAACUUCUUUUGCUCUGACUUCUCCUCCUUCAUUAAAGUGAGUGCUUUUGUAAAUGUGUACAGUUUUUUAUUUUAUUGUUGUUCUAUGGGUUGUUUCCUGCUAAUUACAUUGUAAGGCAUUGUGUUCUGAGGCAGUUCGAUAUUGGCAUGUAAUUAAAUUAUCAUUUAAGUUGGACAAAAACUUUGCAUUCCCUUCAUCCCUGCUCAUUUUUCCCUAGGCCCUUCCCCAGGGGACCUCACGAACUAAGGUAUCCUGGCCCAUAGUAUGAGUCAAUCCACUUGGGGUUUUUGUCACCUGAUGUUCCCUUGUCAUAAAAACCUGCUGCUAGUCACUUACUGUGAAAUACUCUUCUGGCUGACCUUCCUGGGUCUGAUUUCCAAAUGACAGACUUCAGUUUUAUGGGGAAUAAAACGCACCUGUGUUUGAGGCCACUCUUUAGUUAGGUUCUUGCAGGUUGUUUUUCUUUUUUUUUUUUUUUCCUAUUUUUUAUUAGGUAUGUUCUUCAUUUACAUUUCAAGUCCCCCAUACCCUGCCCCCACUCCCCUACCCACCCACUCCCACUUCUUGGCCCUGGCGUUCUCCUGUACUGAGGCAUAUAAAGUUUGCACGACCAAUGGGCCUCUCUUUCCACUUAUGGCCGACUAGGCCAUCUUCUGAUAUAUAUGUAGCUAGAGACACGAGCUCCGGGGGGUACUGGUUAGUUCAUAAUGUUGUUCCUCCUAUGGGGUUGCAGAUCCCUUUAGCUCCUUGGGUACUUUCUCUAGCUCCUCCAUUGGGGGCCCUGUGAUCCAUCCAAUAGCUGACUGUGAGCAUCCACUUCUGUGUUUGCUAGGCCCCUGCAUAGUCUCACAAGAGACAGCUAUAUCAGGGUCCUUUCAGCAAAAUCUUGCUAGUGUAUGCAAUGGUGUCAGCGUUUGGAGGCUGAUUAUGGGAUGGAUCCCAGAUAUGGCAGUCUCUAGAUGGUCCAUCCUUUCGUCUCAGCUCCAAACUUUGUCUCUGUAACUCCUUCCAUGGGUGUUUUGUUCCCAAUUCUAAGAAGGGGCAAAGUGUCCACACUUUGGUCUUCGUUCUCCUUGAGUUUCAUGUGUUUUACAAAUUGUCUUAUAUCUUGGGUAUUCUAAGUAUCUGGGCUAAUAUCCACUUAUCAGUCAGUACAUAUCAUGUGAGUUCUUUUGCCUGGGAAACAAGUCAGAAGAAAUGAACAGAGGCUGUUUCAGUGUUCACAUCAUGCCUUCUUCCUGGGGCUGUUGGUGGGGACCCCUUUCUCCUUGCUGUAUACUGACUUUAUAACCUGAGGAAAGUUGGAAAUACAAUUUUGUGAGCGUACAUUGGGAUCUGAUGAAAACGAGACCAGGAAUUAAAGGGCUGGGUUAAUGUAUCAUUAUGAUUUAAGUAUUAUUAUUAUUUAAGAUUUAUAAGCUUACGGUCUCUGGCUCUUGGGGCCUGCUUUUGGCAGGGUAGUCUCCAUGUAUAAUAGAUUGGCCCUUUUAUGGAUCAACUGAAGCUUUUCUUUUUCUUUCUCUCCUUUUUCUCCUCUCCUGUCAAGGCUGUGUAGGUGAGAAGCAGCAUGGGCUUAUGGAAAAUGUAUAGCAAAAGCAGUGGCGAUGAGAAAGAAUUCAUAAUGGGUACACACAUUGCUGGAGUACUUCCCAAGCACUUUGCAGGGUGCCAAUGAGGUUUCUUUGGCAGAGGCAAAGUGGAACAUGUGCUUUGCCAUGUCUGAACACUGACUUGAAAAGUCCUUUAUGGUUCACAAAGGCAGCUGCUUUUGAGCUGGUGUGGUAGCCAUAGCUUCAGAAAGUCACUUAAGUAUGUGCAGUGCAAACUCCUGACAUCCAUUUGGAAAUUUGGUUGCAUGUUGGGAACUUACUUCUUCACAAGUGGCAUGGAGCAAGAAAGUGUUCUUCGUUAGAUUGUGGGGCCUUUGUUCAUUUUCCUGGAGGGUUGGAUAUCCAGCCUACAUUCUGAGCAGUGUUUGCAGUGUUCCAUACAUAUGUAAAUUUGAAGUGAGGACUUUCUUCUUAAUUUUGAAAGCUAUGGACAGCACUAUUACUUUGCCUAGUAGAACAACAUUAUUAUUGAGUUACCUUUAGGCAUAUUUCAUUGUAUUGGUAGACUUUCUUCCCUGGGGUUUGUAACCUCUAGUGCAUUGUUACUCAGUGAGAUUUUAGGCUUUGCUAAACUUUCCUUCAUGAAGCCUGGGGCUCUUUAUGCGUGUUUCUAAUCUGAGACUUUUGUCUACUCUUUUAUUGAUUUUAGUGAGUUAGCUUCCCUUUCCUAGGUGUCUCAACUCUAGAUGGUAGAGGUAGCAUUGUUUCCUUUCGCUUUCAACAAGGCAUGUGUUACCAGUUUCCCCCUUGAGUAACUAGGACAUGAUUUUUUCGACUCUUCAUUAGUUUUCUAUAUAUUAAAUACUAAUAUGCCUUAGCAUUGUCACAGGUUGCUUAGAAAACAAAGGAUGAAUGCUUUGUUUUUAGUAGACCAUAACUACUGUAUUUCUAAAUGACGAAAAAAAUUACUGCAAAACAGGAUUAGUGCAGAUAGCUUAAGCUGGAAAUCAUUUUAAAUGUUUCAUGGCUACAUUUUGUGCUAAAUAUAAAAAUAAUUGUGUUUCCCAUGUGUGAGCAUCAAAAGCUCCGGUUGGAAAACCACAUAGCCUAACAAGUAGGUCACUAUUGAUGGUAAAACAUGAGGCAGGAAAUGUCACAGCUAAGAUUAGAGACCCAAGCAGUAUGUCUCACCGUGCUUGCAUUGGCCAUCCAAAGCACUAGACGGGCUCAACAGGAUAUAACUGACUUUAGCUCCGUUUCAAAGUAUUAGCAAGGAUAGCCUUUUAAUGUCUUAUUCUCAUUUGUUUCUGAAUAUUGCAUUUCUCCAGUUGGGCAAAAUAAUUGAGCUGCUUAGGUUUGCACAGUGACAGACUUCAGAAUGUCAAUUAAAAUGGCAGUCAUUACAUUCUAUCAGUGUACACAGAAAGCCAUAAUCAGCUGUAUACACUUACAUGGAUGGGUUCACUUGAUGUUUGAAAAUGUUAACAAGGAAUAAUAGAUUGUGAACAUUUCUCACGGGUUCUCGUCCAAGUCUCCUUUGUCUUCAUAUUUGAAAGUGUGAUAGCAUAAGCACAUCUGGGAAGGGGUGCCUUUAGUAAAGCCAGCUAUCAUUUCUUUGUCUUUGGGGACAAUAUGAGGAACAUUUAAUAUUUAAAGUGGAAAUGAUCACCACUGGAGAUAUUUGAGUUUUGUAAGAUACUUGAAUAUUCUCAUUUUUACACAAAAGCCUGAGGGAGAAAGGAGUAGUGUUCCCUAGCCUUUGUUUUGAUGAGAGGCAAUACUACAUUGUGGGGAGGGGCUCAAACCAAAACAGAGCCUUGGAUUCUGAGCAGCGCCACUCCCUCAUGCUGCAUUAAGCAGCUGAGUGGAUGCCCAAAGAGCCUGUGGUUAUUUGGACGAGUAGAUAGAGGCAUGCCGUGAUGAUUGAAUUUGAAUCUGUCAUUAGAGCCUUAUUCAUUCACUUCCAGCCUCGAGUCCUUCACAAAUGUAUCCUGGCUGACAGACUCACUGUACUUUGAGUGGAGAGUUUUAUUGCGUGAAUCUCAGAGGCCUCCCUAGGCUUGUGUUUUGAAAGGUUAUUAAUGCAGAUUAAAACACUCUAUUUUGUACUGGAAGUAUUUUGUGUAGGUUAAACUUUGGGCAGAGAAGUAGAAGAAAAUCUGAACAGAAUAAGUAUUUUUUUAUUAUUUAGUUACCAUGUUAACCUUUAAACUAAGAAGUUCAGUUGAUACUAAGCACCUUUGUACUGUGCACCUGUUAACACCAUCUCUCUCCAGAACCCACUUUGUCUUGUGUACAGGAAUAGUAUCACAUGAUCUUAACUCCAGAACAUAGAAAUGACCUAGGUUUUUUGUUCCUUUCCCAGAAAGGAAACAUAAGGCCCUGGAAGGAGAUGUACACCCAUAUUAACAGUAACUGCCUAUUCUCCUCACCAACACCCUGAAAAGCACCAUUCCCUAUUUUUGUCUCCAUCUCAUUUUAAAUGGGACCAUGCAGUUUUUGUCUUUUUGUGUCCGAGUUACGUCACUUGGUAUAAUGGUCUCCUGCGCUUGUGCAUGCUAUUAUAUACACCAGACUCUUUCUCUUGGGGCUGAAUAAUAUUCAUAA
Molecule: non-coding RNA, 8270 nt
Organism: Mus caroli (Ryukyu mouse)
Lineage: Eukaryota; Metazoa; Chordata; Mammalia; Rodentia; Muridae
Source: RefSeq, a predicted model, not a curated record